CCCAUUUUCUCAUUCCACUCCUCCCUGCUUCUCUCUCUCUUUCAACACAAAACACAAAUGGCGAUUCUUGUACCCUUCUAGACUCAACGCCACAGCAACACUUGCAGUUUCUUCAACAUAUAGGCAAGGAGUCAAGCACCUCCCUAGCAGAAAGAUUAAAAAAGAAAUUAACAGUUCCAAGAAGUACGCAGUUCUAGAUAUUUUUCUGAUUUAUCUAGUGAAUGGUUCGGGUUCGUUCCUAAUGGUCAUUCUAUCUCGAAGACCAUCACUGAUACCUUCAUGGAGCGACAAGAUGCUACUGGUUACACAUGGAAGGUUGUCUGCCAAUCCACUCGUGACUUCUAUUGGCAUGAAUUUAUGAAAUUAUAUCAUUGGAGUUCUGCUGAGGAUGCCAUAAUCAAACAUACUUGGAAAAAAGUGGCAUCUACCUUGUACACUAAAAAGCGGCACAAGUGGUAGAAAUUUACAACCAGACCUACUUUUAUUAAAGAGCAUAUAUGGGAAAGCUGGCAGGCACACUGGUCAUCGGAAAAGUGGCUUGAAAAAUCUCGUGUCGCCAUUCAAAAUCGGUGUAGCAAGACUGGUGGUCCAGGCACUGGUCCAAGCAAGCAUACCGGUUGUUCUAGGUCUACAGUGGAGCAUACUAUAAAAUUGGCAAUAGAAUUACAUCGUCCAGCAAAUUCAUGGGAUAUAUUUAAGAAGCUGCAUAAAAGAAAGGAUGGGAACUUUGUGGAUACCAAGUCUAAGACUGUUGGUGUAAGUUUCUUUUAUAAUAUUUCAUCAUUUUAUUUGAGAAUGAAUAUGAGGAAUAUUACUGGUGCAAUCCACUUAUCUGAAAGCUUCUUCACAUCAUCUCAUUUCUUGUUUAAUUAGCAUUUCAUUUCUUGUUCUGAUGCAGA
This is a long non-coding RNA of Nicotiana attenuata, 899 nucleotides long. RefSeq lists it as uncharacterized. The record is from RefSeq and is a predicted model, not a curated record. The transcript is spliced from 5 exons. Lineage: Eukaryota; Viridiplantae; Streptophyta; Magnoliopsida; Solanales; Solanaceae.